UAACGCGUGGAUAACCUGCCUUGCACUGGGGGAUAACACUUAGAAAUAGGUGCUAAUACCGCAUAAGCGCACAGAGCCGCAUGGCUCAGUGUGAAAAACUCCGGUGGUGUAAGAUGGAUCCGCGUCUGAUUAGCUAGUUGGCGGGGUAGAAGCCCACCAAGGCGACGAUCAGUAGCCGGCCUGAGAGGGUGAACGGCCACAUUGGGACUGAGACACGGCCCAAACUCCUACGGGAGGCAGCAG
RNAcentral lists this ribosomal RNA (243 nucleotides) under uncultured bacterium. RNAcentral describes it as "partial 16S ribosomal RNA". It matches the Rfam family "Bacterial small subunit ribosomal RNA", at positions 111 to 354 of the family's 1533-position model. The record is from RNAcentral.